UAGGGAAUCUUCCGCAAUGGGCGAAAGCCUGACGGAGCAACGCCGCUUGAGUGAUGAAGGUCUUCGGAUCGUAAAACUCUGUUAUUAGGGAAGAACAAAUGUGUAAGUAACUAUGCACGUCUUGACGGUACCUAAUCAGAAAGACACGGCUAACUACGUGCCAGCAGCCGCGGUAAUACGUAGGUGGCAAGCGUUAUCCGGACUUAUUGGGCGUAAAGCGCGCGUAGGCGGUUUUUUAAGUCUGAUGUGAAAGCCCACGGCUCAACCGUGGAGGGUCAUUGGAAACUGGAAAACUUGAGUGCAGAAGAGGAAAGUGGAAUUCCAUGUGUAGCGGUGAAAUGCGCAGAGAUAUGGAGGAACACCAGUGGCGAAGGCGACUUUCUGGUCUGUAACUGACGCUGAUGUGCGAAAGCGUGGGGAUCAAACAGG
RNAcentral lists this ribosomal RNA (429 nucleotides) under Actinomycetes bacterium. Its description in RNAcentral is "Actinobacteria bacterium partial 16S ribosomal RNA". It matches the Rfam family "Bacterial small subunit ribosomal RNA", at positions 355 to 776 of the family's 1533-position model. The record is from RNAcentral. Lineage: Bacteria; Bacillati; Actinomycetota; Actinomycetes.